Capsella rubella is the source of this 479-nucleotide long non-coding RNA. RefSeq lists it as uncharacterized. The transcript has 4 exons. Lineage: Eukaryota; Viridiplantae; Streptophyta; Magnoliopsida; Brassicales; Brassicaceae. The record is from RefSeq and is a predicted model, not a curated record.
GAACAUAAUAUCACAUAAUGAAGGAAUGGAGCAUCUUCACUUGAACUCUCCAUGCCGUAUGGGCGGACGUCCUUGAGGAAAGCAAAGGUGGCCGCCAUUGAUGAGAUGGAAGUGAAAGCAAGUUUCAGUAAGCUGAAUGAUUGUUUUUGAAGAAUCAAGGUAGAAAUCGAAUAAAUAGCGUAAUUCCGGGGAUAUAUGGAUAGUAGUUGCGAUCCUUCCAUAAGUUGGGAAGCACAAUUUGCGUGAUUUAUGGGUUUUUGAUGAGAUUUUCUAAAUGAAGAUAUUGACAGAGAGAUAUGUAGAGAUCUUCGGUGAUGGCGGAGGUCACGCAGAGUUGACAAACAGUUGGGCUUAAUUUCUUUGGGCUUCGAUUUUUUUUUGGGUUCUAAGUUUGUUUGCGAAAUUUUUCUUUUUUAAAGUUUUAAAAAAUAAAGCCAGUGGCAGAGGGUUGGAAAUAAGUGAGCAAAGUGAGGGUUUUU